This 410-nucleotide ribosomal RNA is filed under the name Theileria mutans. RNAcentral's name for it is "SSU rRNA". It matches the Rfam family "Eukaryotic small subunit ribosomal RNA", at positions 454 to 908 of the family's 1831-position model. Lineage: Eukaryota; Apicomplexa; Aconoidasida; Piroplasmida; Theileriidae. The record is from RNAcentral.
ACACAGGGAGGUAGUGACAAGAAAUAACAAUACGGGGCUCAACGCCUUGUAAUUGGAAUGAUGGGAACCUAAACCCCUUCCAGAGUAUCAAUUGGAGGGCAAGUCUGGUGCCAGCAGCCGCGGUAAUUCCAGCUCCAAUAGCGUAUAUUAAAAUUGUUGCAGUUAAAAAGCUCGUAGUUGAAUUUCUGCCGCAUCGCGGCGGCCCUCCCGGGCCCAGCGUUGCGGCUUAUUUCGGACUCGCUUGCGUCUCCGAAUGUUUACUUUGAGAAAAUUAGAGUGCUCAAAGCAGGCCCUUGCCUUGAAUACUUUAGCAUGGAAUAAUAAAGUAGGACUUUGGUUCUAUUUUGUUGGUUUAGCGCCAAAGUAAUGGUUAAUAGGAACAGUUGGGGGCAUUCGUAUUUAAAAUUUAA